Molecule: ribosomal RNA, 465 nt
Filed under: uncultured bacterium
Lineage: Bacteria
Description: partial 16S ribosomal RNA
Rfam family: Bacterial small subunit ribosomal RNA
Source: RNAcentral
GAUGAACGCUGGCGGCGUGCUUAACACAUGCAAGUCGAACGGAAAGGCCCAAGCUUGCUUGGGUACUCGAGUGGCGAACGGGUGAGUAACACGUGGGUGAUCUGCCCUGCACUUCGGGAUAAGCCUGGGAAACUGGGUCUAAUACCGGAUAGGACCACAUUUUGGAUGGUGUGGUGGAAAGUUUUUCGGUGUGGGAUGAGCUCGCGGCCUAUCAGCUUGUUGGUGGGGUAAUGGCCUACCAAGGCGUCGACGGGUAGCCGGCCUGAGAGGGUGUACGGCCACAUUGGGACUGAGAUACGGCCCAGACUCCUACGGGAGGCAGCAGUAGGGAAUAUUGCACAAUGGGCGCAAGCCUGAUGCAGCGACGCCGCGUGGGGGAUGACGGCCUUCGGGUUGUAAACUCCUUUCGCUAGGGACGAAGCGCAAGUGACGGUACCUGGAGAAGAAGCACCGGCUAACUACGUG